Molecule: long non-coding RNA, 235 nt
Filed under: Elaeis guineensis (African oil palm)
Lineage: Eukaryota; Viridiplantae; Streptophyta; Magnoliopsida; Arecales; Arecaceae
Description: long non-coding RNA (EGUI_LNC054470)
Source: RNAcentral
GCUUCCUCCUCCAAAUCUCCUCUUACUUUAGAGUGUCCAAGGUACUUGAAGAAGAAGGAAGAGACCAGCUAUCGAAGUUACUUACAGGCUAGCACCUCCAAGCCCUUGAUCUGUUCCAGUCUUCGUGUGGAUUUCUUGUAGAGGCUAGACGACUUUGUGUGGCUGCGAGUGACUUGAGGAAUACCUUCUCUAACCAUUAGACCAGAGGAGAUCAAUAUCAAAUUGGUUUGGUAAU